GAUGAACGCUGGCGGCGCGCCUAAUACAUGCAAGUCGAGCGAACAGACGAGGAGCUUGCUCCUCUGACGUUAGCGGCGGACGGGUGAGUAACACGUGGAUAAACUACCUAUAAGACUGGGAUAACUUCGGGAAACCGGAGCUAAUACCGGAUAAUAUAUUGAACCGCAUGGUUCAAUAGUGAAAGACGGUUUUGCUGUCACUUAUAGAUGGAUCCGCGCCGCAUUAGCUAGUUGGUAAGGUAACGGCUUACCAAGGCGACGAUGCGUAGCCGACCUGAGAGGGUGAUCGGCCACACUAGAACUGAGACACGGUCCAGACUCCUACGGGAGGCAGCAGUAGGGAAUCUUCCGCAAUGGUCGAAAGCCUGACGGAGCAACGCCGCGUGAGUGAUGAAGGUCUUCUGAUCUUAAAACUCUGUUAUUAGGGAAGAACAAAUGUGUAAGUAACUAUGCACGUCUUGACGGUACCUAAUCAGAAAGCCACGGCUAACUACGUG
RNAcentral lists this ribosomal RNA (497 nucleotides) under uncultured bacterium. RNAcentral describes it as "partial 16S ribosomal RNA". It matches the Rfam family "Bacterial small subunit ribosomal RNA", at positions 28 to 507 of the family's 1533-position model. The record is from RNAcentral.